RNAcentral lists this ribosomal RNA (447 nucleotides) under uncultured bacterium. Its description in RNAcentral is "bacterial SSU rRNA". It matches the Rfam family "Bacterial small subunit ribosomal RNA", at positions 329 to 793 of the family's 1533-position model. The record is from RNAcentral.
CUCCAGACUCCUACGGGAGGCAGCAGUGGGGAAUAUUGCACAAUGGGGGAAACCCUGAUGCAGCGACGCCGCGUGGGUGAAGAAGCGCCUCGGCGCGUAAAGCCCUGUCAGCAGGGAAGAAAAUGACGGUACCUGAAGAGGAAGCCCCGGCUAACUACGUGCCAGCAGCCGCGGUAAUACGUAGGGGGCAAGCGUUAUCCGGAUUUACUGGGUGUAAAGGGGGCGCAGACGGCGAUGCAAGCCAGGAGUGAAAGCCCGGGGCCCAACCCCGGGACUGCUCUUGGAACUGCGUGGCUGGAGUGCAGGAGGGGCAGGCGGAAUUCCUGGUGUAGCGGUGAAAUGCGUAGAUAUCAGGAGGAACACCGGUGGCGAAGGCGGCCUGCUGGACUGCAACUGACGUUGAGGCCCGAAAGCGUGGGGAGCAAACAGGAUUAGAUACCCGAGUAC